CUUGAAAAAACUGGCAAGACUGCCGAUAAACUUAAUGAGAUGUACAAGAAAUCUAAUGAGACCCUCCAUGUUGUGAUAAAGGA
Molecule: long non-coding RNA, 83 nt
Organism: Myotis davidii
Lineage: Eukaryota; Metazoa; Chordata; Mammalia; Chiroptera; Vespertilionidae
Exons: 3
Source: RefSeq, a predicted model, not a curated record